GACGAACGCUGGCGGCGUGCUUAACACAUGCAAGUCGAGCGGUAAGGCCCUUUCGGGGGUACACGAGCGGCGAACGGGUGAGUAACACGUGGGUGACCUGCCCUUAGCUCUGGGAUAAGCCUGGGAAACUGGGUCUAAUACCGGAUAUGACUCCAUGACGCAUGUUGUGGGGUGGAAAGCCUUGUGCGGCUAGGGAUGGGCCCGCGGCCUAUCAGCUUGUUGGUGGGGUGAUGGCCUACCAAGGCGACGACGGGUAGCCGGCCUGAGAGGGCGACCGGCCACACUGGGACUGAGACACGGCCCAGACUCCUACGGGAGGCAGCAGUGGGGAAUCUUGCGCAAUGGGCGGAAGCCUGACGCAGCGACGCCGCGUGAGGGAUGACGGCCUCGGUU
RNAcentral lists this ribosomal RNA (393 nucleotides) under uncultured bacterium. Its description in RNAcentral is "bacterial SSU rRNA". It matches the Rfam family "Bacterial small subunit ribosomal RNA", at positions 28 to 424 of the family's 1533-position model. The record is from RNAcentral.